CGAAGCUCGUCACCACACAGCAAACACUAGUUCAGUCUCUGCUUAUGACGGCGGGUUAAAGAGUGCUUUCUGUCUCCAUCCCUGCAGAAGUGAGUGAAGCUGCUGCUGAGAGGACUGAGAAUGAGUCGCCUUCUAAAGUGUCUGAACGUGUUUACUGUUGUGUGUCUGCUGAGCGGUCCAGCUCUAACAACAGAGAUAGUUCCUUGGCACAGUCCUUGGGGGACUGUAGCUGACUUCACCAGGGAAGGAUGCUCACACUGGGAGCUAAAGCCUGAGUUUUCUCUUCCUGCUCUGGACCAAACCACCGUCUGCCUCAGCCUGAAGCUCCAGGACUGGGGUGACUCACCUUGGACGGCCUUCAUGUACCGUCACCCUGAGAAGCAGCACGCUGAGCUGGGUUUGGGGGGGAGAGACGGCCAUUUGAUGGUCUUGGUGUUUGGUGAGCAAUGGAAAACGGAGCAGAAUGACAUUAAUCUGUUGGAUUGGUCCUCGCUCUGUGUCACCUGGUCACAGAAAACAGGCAGGCCUGUGCUUUACGUCAAUGGAAAACCAAAGAAUCUCAAAACAGACGCUUCUUCGACUCCUUCAUUGCGAAGCCCAAUUGCCCCGAAUGGAACACUCACUCUCGGUGCUGGACACUCCAUCAACAGUGGGAAUAUUCAAGUCCUUCCAAACUCUAAAAUGUUGGGGAAAGUGUCCUUGUUUCGGAUGUGGUGGACGGAGCGCACUGAAGAGGAAAUAUCAUCAAAGAACUGCAUCGAGGGGAACCUGAUAACGUGGGAAUCACAAACCUGGGACACAAGGCCCUGCGCUCCCAUCCCUGAUCCCAGCCUCCAGUGUGAGUGGUCCUUAUUUCAAGUGAGGCUGGUGUUUGCCAUUCUGCGUCACGACGAGACAAAUACUGAUCUCUCUACAGCCAAAGAAAUGGCACUUAACUUGGUAAACACAUUUUAUCUACAUUUUCUUUUUAAAGAAUUCUAAAUUAAUUUUCGAUAGCACUUGGAGAUGACCAUUGUUGUAAUUUGCGCCAUUAAAAUAAAUGUACUUAAGUUUUGUAUGUUUCCA
RNAcentral lists this long non-coding RNA (1065 nucleotides) under Gouania willdenowi (blunt-snouted clingfish). RNAcentral describes it as "lncRNA (ENSGWIG00000006754.1)". The record is from RNAcentral. Lineage: Eukaryota; Metazoa; Chordata; Actinopteri; Blenniiformes; Gobiesocidae.